UUACUCUGGUUUCUCUUCAUUUCGUAUAAAUCUUUCGCCUUUUACUAAAGAUUUCGGUGGAGAGGAACAAAUCCGAGUUUUAAGAAAUUUUUUGAGGCGCCAUUUCGGUGAGCU
Small nuclear RNA from Malurus cyaneus samueli, 114 nucleotides. Its record names the gene U5. It matches the Rfam family "U5 spliceosomal RNA". Rfam says of the family: U5 RNA is a component of both types of known spliceosome. The precise function of this molecule is unknown, though it is known that the 5' loop is required for splice site selection and p220 binding, and that both the 3' stem-loop and the Sm site are important for Sm protein binding and cap methylation. The record is from Ensembl. NCBI's taxonomy places the organism in Eukaryota, Metazoa, Chordata, Aves, Passeriformes, Maluridae.